This is a long non-coding RNA of Erpetoichthys calabaricus (reedfish), 333 nucleotides long. RefSeq lists it as uncharacterized. NCBI's taxonomy places the organism in Eukaryota, Metazoa, Chordata, Cladistia, Polypteriformes, Polypteridae. The record is from RefSeq and is a predicted model, not a curated record. The transcript has 3 exons.
CUGAGAUUACCUCUGGAAAUGAGUCACCAUUCAAGCUGCACAUUUGUUCUUCUCGUUGGCAGCUGAUAGCUGGACAUGUCUGCCUUUGGCACUUACAGAAUUUUGACUUCCUUUUUCUUGGCUCCUCCAAACACCUCAUGUUUUCAUUAUGCCUUGGCUGCAACAUCUUGAUGGUUCACUCUUGUCAUCUCGCCGCCAUGCACCGCUCAUCCCGUGAUGGUCCUGCUCGACAAGACACCAGCAGAAUGGGUGUCAGGAAGGUUGGACUGCAAAGUUGUGUCACCUGGAAUUGGGGAAGCAGAAGGCAAGUCUGGACAUCAAGUGAAUGUCCAU